CUAACAUGUGUUGUUGUGUUCUGACUUUUUGCCUUUUUUCUUUUCUCUAACAUUUCAGUUUCAAGCUGCUCUUCCAACCAAACUCCAUAACCAAUCCAAGUCGAGCCCAUCUGAAGGCUCUGUGGCGUACAUUGCCUUGCCUUUUGGGAUGUCUGGACAAAGUCCCAUGGCCCACUAACUCUUCCAAGGAGACAGACUUGGACGGCGUCCAGCUAAAGUAUGGACCAGAUCAUCUGCAGCCCGAGCCACGCCAAAGCCCCCACCGCCCCCAAAUUAAAGCUGACACAUUCAAUCUCGUCAACGUGCUUUAACCCCACCGCUCUCCAUUCAGUGCAGAGAGGAGUGGCACUGAGAAUCUGCCAGCUUGCCGGAGCUAAUUACAGAGCAGACAGCAAACUGCAAGGUGGGAUGUGGUGAGGAAUGCUCGCUAUCGUAAUGAAUGCAAUGCCGGAUUUGGGAGGCAAGUGAUGGAGUCCCACCCUGUCUGAUUUGGGUCCCGCUUUUUCUCAAAAUUCCUGACAUUUAUUGGCCCAUCCUUAUUCAAUCUGUAAAGAGCGUAAUGUUUUCCAUGUGCUACCUUCACGAUCCUGCAGCGGAGGAAGACAUGUUUCCAAAUGUUUCAUGGUGAGCAUUUGUCUCCAGUGAAAGCGGUUUCUUCUCUCGGUUUCCAACAUCCACCUCACAGAACAAUAUAACAUCCACCGGAGAACGCACCCUGCCAUGUAGAAAAAAAAAACAUAAAAUAGUCCCUGCUUGAGGCUGAGGAGGGAUUUAAAGGUUAA
Acanthopagrus latus (yellowfin seabream) is the source of this 782-nucleotide long non-coding RNA. RefSeq lists it as uncharacterized. NCBI's taxonomy places the organism in Eukaryota, Metazoa, Chordata, Actinopteri, Spariformes, Sparidae. The transcript is spliced from 4 exons. The record is from RefSeq and is a predicted model, not a curated record.